This is a non-coding RNA of Tupaia belangeri chinensis (Chinese tree shrew), 797 nucleotides long. The record is from the annotation of a RefSeq genome assembly. Lineage: Eukaryota; Metazoa; Chordata; Mammalia; Scandentia; Tupaiidae.
GUGACUAGAACAGAGGCCAGAAAGCACCCAGGUUCGUUUCAGCAGCUUAUGUAUUUUUUAUCUAAGCAAAGAAUUGUCCAGCUGCACUUUCAGCCCAUCUUCUAUUUCCAAGGUCUUGGUUUCUGCAGCCAGCUUCUUUCCUAUUCUUGGAAACUUUCCGGAAAGAGUCUGCAGGUUUUUACUACUCAGCCAUGCUCCUGGUGCUCAUCCCAGUCCUGGGCAUACAUUUUGUCCUGAGAGAUGCCAGAGCCCAGUCUGUGACCCAGCCUGACAGUCAUGUCACUGUCUCUGAGAAAGCCUCACUGGAGCUGAGAUGCACCUAUUCCAGUAGUUCAGCUCCUUAUCUCUUCUGGUAUGUCCAGUACCCUGGCCAAGGACUCCAGCUUCUCCUCAGGUACUAUUCUGGAGACUCCCUGGUUAAAGGCAGCAACGGCUUUGAGGCUGAAUUUAAGAAGAGUGACUCUUCCUUCCACCUGAGGAAACCGUCUGUGCACUGGACUGACACGGCUGAGUACUUCUGUGCUCUGGGUGACACAGUGCCUGGGGCUGCAGGGGGAGCUGCACACAAACCACUCAUGGCUGUGGGGUGUCAGACUCAAGAUCUUUCUGUGGUACUAAAGAGGUCUCUUGUGAUAUGAUGGUGACUGGGCAAAGAGGAAUAAGCAGAUCCAGGAACAGAAUUCUGCUUAAUUCUGCAAUUCUUGCUGAGCCCUAUAUCUGAUAAACUUUGUUUCAGAAGCUUUUUCAUCACUGUAGAAACUAUGUAUUGUCAAAUAACUAGUGUUCUGAAUCAUGGA